Long non-coding RNA from Neofelis nebulosa (Clouded leopard), 2211 nucleotides. RefSeq lists it as uncharacterized. The record is from RefSeq and is a predicted model, not a curated record. The transcript has 3 exons. NCBI's taxonomy places the organism in Eukaryota, Metazoa, Chordata, Mammalia, Carnivora, Felidae.
CAUUCAUUCAUUGAAAGUAGGCUCCACACCCAGCAUGAAGCCCAACCCGGGGCUUGAACUCGUGACUUUGAGAUCAAGACCUGAGCUGAGAUCGAUUCAGAUGCUUAACCAACUGUGCCCUGAGAACUGCCAUAUUUUAAAUAAUCUACACGUGCUAUUCUCUUUUGGUUCAACAAUUUAGAUGUAUUAUCUUCCUAUAUUGGUAAAUGAGGAUUUAGUGCUCUUUUUAGCCAUCCUCUCCCUCGUCCUCCCUACAUCAUGUAUUAUUAUUAUUAUUGGUUAGAUUACUGUUGGUGUUUACAUGAUUAUAUACAUGCAAGGAAAGCAGAGCAUUGUAGUGCACUAUUAUUUUUCUUUGUUACUUUUUGUUUUUCCUGAUAUUGAUAAUUGCCUUGUUUGUUCACUGGCAACUACUUUAGAUUUCUUUCUUUGCAGUGCCUUUGGUCAAAGUAUUGCACUUGUGACCUAAUUUCUCUUUGCUGAGGCCAAAUUUAGCUGACAUUCUGGGUUUUCAGCCCCCGAAUGCCCUCUACCUCAGGACUUACUAAAAAAGAGACUCUAAUCUAAGAUGCAGCCCAUUUCCCAUCAUCGGCUUUAUUUUCCCCAAAUGGGUCAUUCUUCAACCACAGCUUUUCAUCUCCAUUUAAGAACCUAGCUCCUGGGGCGCCUGGUAGGCUCAGUGGUAGAGCACGUGACUCUUGAUCUCGAGGUUGUAAGUCAAGCCCCUUUUUGGGCAUAGAGUUCACUUGGGGAAAAAAAAAAAAAAAAAAAGAGCCUAGCUCCAGCUAACCUUCCGUGGCUUCUUGCUGGAGGCCCUUGACACCAUAGUCUCCCUCGUCACACAUCUGAGAUCAGUUAUUACACAGCCAACACUGAUUUCUUCAGAAGGUCUUAGGGGCCAGUACUGCUCCAGCACACGUGAUCACACACUCAGUAGCUUCUAAAAACUCAAAACACAUGGCAGCAUUCACAGUUGCCUCUGGGACCUCUGUUUUCUCCUUUUGGGCUCUAUACUGUUGCUGCCCUUUGGGUCCACGACCUUUAGGUUAGCUCACUAAUGAUCUUGGGCUGUGGGCAAUCCAAGGGUUUGUUUAGAACAGUGUCAAGUAAGUAGCGACCCUCUCUGGUUUUUGCUUUCACCGAGUGUGGUCUACCAUACCCCCAGGAUUCAUCGCCCUGCCCCUCGUCUUUCUCUACAAGGAUCGAUGCCGUUGCCAAUACAGAGAACCCUGGUGUUCCUGCCCCCAAGGGUGAGGGGGUCUGUCAUAGAAAAUGAGGACCCCAAUGCUGAGGAGAGGAAACCCCAUUAAAACUUUGCAUGAUUCAAUUCAUCCAGAGGAAAGGCCUCAUUCAACAGGGGAUCUCCGUCAGAAGAGCUCUUCUCCCGAAGUGUGCUGGUCUCUCAAGAUGCUGAAAGCAGCUUCCGGACUUCGCUGAUUCAGCCCUGGCCUGCCUGCUUUUGGAGGAUGCUUGAUCAUGUCAGCUUCCUGGUGAUAACCGGCUUUAUUUAGCCUGCCCUGCUUCUGCCUAUUCCUGUACCCUCUCUUACGGAAUCUCUUCCCAUCCAAACUGAGCAGCUGGGGAAGGAAGUCAAACGGUCUAGGCCGUAAAACCUUGAAGUAUCCACAUCUCUCCUCAAACUCAGUGACCCCCACCGCUAACAGAAAGGUGGAUACUGAAACACUGGCACAGGAUCUUUUCCUGAAAUAUAGCCUGCUUUCUACGUCUGCAUCUCUGCUCACUUCUCAACAGAGAACAAAGGGAUUUUUAUGGAGGCAGACACACCCCGCAUUCCCAGUUUACAGAAUUUAUUUUUAACCAGAACUACGUGUAGAAAUAUGUGAGCAGCUAUGCUAGUAAUAAUAGACGGAAGAGGAGAAGAUGUGUGUGUGUGUGGAUUCAUCUUCCUAGAAGAAAAAGUCAGAGAGAUUGGAAGUGAAGGAAUCUGUGUGCUAUUGUUUACUUUGAAGAUGAAAGAGACCAGUAUAAAGAAAUAAACUUUAGAAGCAGAGAGUGGCCUCCAAUGACAACCAGCAAGAAAAUGGGACCUCAGCCAUAAGAUACCAGAUUCUACCAACAACCCAAAUGAAGAGACAGAUUCUUUCAGAGAGCCUCCAGAAAAGAGCCCAGUCUGGCCAACACUUUGAUUUUGACCUUGUGAAACUCUAAGCAAAGAGCCCAGCUGGGCUACCCAGACUUUUGACCUACAGA